This 584-nucleotide long non-coding RNA is filed under the name Struthio camelus australis. Its description in RNAcentral is "lncRNA (ENSSCUG00000018498.1)". Lineage: Eukaryota; Metazoa; Chordata; Aves; Struthioniformes; Struthionidae. The record is from RNAcentral.
AUGCUGGAGGUGGAAGAUGUUUCUUGCUUCCAAGACAGGCGCUGUAGAAAGGCAGCAGAGACCUAGUCUGACCACUUGCUAAGGUGCUUCCAGGCUAUUUAAGCCCCAGGAGGUUCUGAACAGGAAGGAACUGGUGCUGAGCUGGAAGCACGCUGAGGAAAUAAAAAAGCAACUAGAUGAAUUAGAUGAGGUUCAGACAUAUUAAGGAAGAAAACAUUUCUACUGUGAAGAACUGCAUGUUGACUUUAUAAAACUUAUUGAUGUAGAAAAUGAUAACAUCUUAGAUGAAUAAGAGGGCCGAAGAAAAAAACCUUCCAUGAUGUACUUCAUCUGUGGCUUGUACAAAGCUGCGUGUGGGUUUCGUUCGUCUGGAUCUGAGCUCUCUGGAAAUACUAUUCCUUGAAGAACCAGCAGAAAUGAAGUUGAUGUCAUUUCGGAAAGUACCGCUUUAGAGAGACAGCGUAUCUGAGAGUGAAAGGAAAUGAAACAGUGGCCUUUACCCUUGGAUAACUGCAGGUAAAUCUGCUAACUGUAUUGGCAUGCAUCUGACUUUUUUCUGCUUCGCUGCUUAGACCAGGCCAAGA